UGCCAGCAGCCGCGGUAAUACGGAGGGGGUUAGCGUUGUUCGGAAUUACUGGGCGUAAAGCGCACGUAGGCGGAUUAGUAAGUUAGGGGUGAAAUCCCGGGGCUCAACCCCGGAACUGCCUCUAAUACUGGCAGUCUUGAGUAUGGGAGAGGAAAGUGGAAUUCCGAGUGUAGGAGUGAAAUCCGUAGAUAUCCGGAGGAACACCAGUGGCGAAGGCGGCUCACUGGCUCGAUACUGACGCUGAGGUGCGAAAGCGUGGGGAGCAAACAGGAUUAGAUA
This 279-nucleotide ribosomal RNA is filed under the name uncultured bacterium. RNAcentral's name for it is "partial 16S ribosomal RNA". It matches the Rfam family "Bacterial small subunit ribosomal RNA", at positions 506 to 784 of the family's 1533-position model. The record is from RNAcentral.